This 503-nucleotide long non-coding RNA is filed under the name Vulpes vulpes (red fox). Its description in RNAcentral is "lncRNA (ENSVVUG00000021250.1)". Lineage: Eukaryota; Metazoa; Chordata; Mammalia; Carnivora; Canidae. The record is from RNAcentral.
CGCUUUUAGAGUCAGUUUCAUACUUCAGGCAUAAAUAUUUUAGCUGCUUUAUUNUUUAGCCAAUGUCUGGCCAUUUUUGUCAUGAUUCUCUGAUGACCAAAUAGUAGCGUGGUGUUCAUUUGACAACCACAGGAGAAAAGGGAAAAGAGUGGAAGAAUAUGCCAGAGGACUGGAGAUUCCAGGACAGCACUGAGGAGAGCUUCAAAGUUAACCCACAGUGUCAGGCAAAUGAGCACCAUUAACAAAUCAUUUGAGAAAAAUGAGUCUUAUAUCGUCACUGCCGCUAUUCCUGCCACCAUCUCCAAAGAACCUUGGAUUGCUACGAUAUUUACAGAGAAAAUCACCUUGGACACUCUACCUAUCUCAGCCUGAAGAUCAUGAAGCUGGUGGAUGCUGGCAGUGAUAAACUGAACUAUUACUGCCAGCUCACAUCCUCUUUUCUGGGCAACUUUGCAAUUCCUCCCACAAAAAUAAAAACUGUACUUCCUUGACCUUUGAGUUCA